AUUAAUAAGCGGAGGAAAAGAAACCAACCGGGAUUCCCACAGUAACGGCGAGUGAAGUGGGACGAGCCCAGCACCGAAUCGCGCGCCGUCGGGCGUAGCGAACUGUGGUGUUCAGGACGAGCGCCUGCGCGUCGGAACGCUGUCCGAGUCCUCCUGAUCGGGGCUUGCCAGAGCGGGUGUCAGCCCUCUACGGCGACGGACCGGCGCGCCCGCCACGUCCUCGGAGUCGGGUUGUUUGAGAAUGCAGCCCAAAGUCGGUGGUAAACUCCAUCUAAGGCUAAAUACGGACGCGAGUCCGAUAGCGAACAAGUACCGUGAGGGAAAGUU
Molecule: ribosomal RNA, 327 nt
Filed under: Olavius sp. 'st andrea 3'
Lineage: Eukaryota; Metazoa; Annelida; Clitellata; Tubificida; Naididae
Description: eukaryotic LSU rRNA
Rfam family: Eukaryotic large subunit ribosomal RNA
Source: RNAcentral